Molecule: ribosomal RNA, 952 nt
Filed under: uncultured organism
Description: bacterial SSU rRNA
Rfam family: Bacterial small subunit ribosomal RNA
Source: RNAcentral
UGACGGUACCCUUUCGAAUAAGAGGUUGCUAACUCUGUGCCAGCAGCAGCGGUAAUACAGAGACCUCGAGCGUUAUCCGGAUUUACUGGGCGUAAAGCGUCCGUAGGGGGUUUGUUAAGUUCCAAGUAAAAUCUUAAGGCUCAACUUUAAGUUCGCUUGGAAAACUAAUAAACUGGAGUCCAGCAGAGGUGCAUGGAACUUGCGGUGUAGGAGUGAAAUCCGUUGAUAUCGCAAGGAACACCAAAGGCGAAGGCAUUGCACUGGGCUGGUACUGACCCUGAGAGACGAAAGCGUGGGGAGCAAAACGGAUUAGAUACCCGUGUAGUCCACGCCGUAAACGAUGGAUACUAGAUGUUCGGGGAUUCGACCCCCUGGGUGUCACAGCUAACGCGUUAAGUAUCCCGCCUGGGAAGUACGGCCGCAAGGCUAAAACUCAAAGGAAUAGACGGGGAUCCGCACAAGCGGUGGAGCGUCUGGUUUAAUUUGAUAGUAAGCAAUGGACCUCACCAAGGUUUGACAUCCUAUGACAACCCUGGAAACAGGGCUUCCUUCGGGCAUAGUGACAGGUGCUGCAUGGUCGUCGUCAGUUCGUGCCGUGAGGUGUUCCGUUAAGUCGGGAAACGAACGAAACCCUCGUCGCAUGUUACAAAUUUCAUGCGAGACUGCCCGGGUCAACCGGGAGGAAGGCGGGGAUGACGUCAGAUCAGCAUGGCCCUUAUACCUUGGGCUACACAGGUGCUACAAUGGCCGGUACAAAGGGUUGCAAAACCGCGAGGUGAAGCUAAUCCCAUAAAGCCGGUCCAAGUUCGGAUUGGAGGCUGCAACUCGCCUCCAUGAAGUUGGAAUCGCUAGUAAUCGUGGAUCAGCCAUACCACGGUGAAUACGUUCCCGGAUCUUGUACUCACCGCCCGUCACACCAAGAGAGUUGGUAGCUCCUGAAGCGUCGCAUUAG